GAUGAACGCUGGUGGCGUGCUUAACACAUGCAAGUCGAGCGAAGCGAUUUUAAAGAAGCCUUCGGGUGGAAUUAAAAUUGACUUAGCGGCGGACGGGUGAGUAACGCGUGGGUAACCUGCCUCAUACAGGGGGAUAACAGUUAGAAAUGACUGCUAAUACCGCAUAAGCGCACAGUGCUGCAUAGCACAGUGUGAAAAAAUCCGGUGGUAUGAGAUGGACCCGCGUCGGAUUAGGUAGUUGGUGAGGUAACGGCCCAACAAGCCGACGAUCAGUAGCCGACCUGAGAGGGUGACCGGCCACAUUGGGACUGAGACACGGCCCAAACUCCUACGGGAGGCAGCAGUGGGGAAUAUUGGACAAUGGGGGAAACCCUGAUCCAGCGACGCCGCGUGACUGAAGAAGUAUUUCGGUAUGUAAAGGUCUAUCAGCAGGGAAGAUAAUGACGGUACUAUAUGAAUAAGCACCGGCUAACUCCGUGCCAGCCGCCGCGGUAA
RNAcentral lists this ribosomal RNA (495 nucleotides) under uncultured bacterium. RNAcentral's name for it is "partial 16S ribosomal RNA". It matches the Rfam family "Bacterial small subunit ribosomal RNA", at positions 28 to 523 of the family's 1533-position model. The record is from RNAcentral.